This is a long non-coding RNA of Equus caballus (horse), 5616 nucleotides long. NCBI's taxonomy places the organism in Eukaryota, Metazoa, Chordata, Mammalia, Perissodactyla, Equidae. The record is from Ensembl.
UUGAUAUCAGCCAAAUAUUAUUAAAGUUAUUAAAAUGGUAAAUAAAUAGAAGCUUGUUGCAAGACAAUUGAAAAUAAUAUGGAAAUCUAUAUAGCAAUUCUUUCCAGUGGAAAUACAAUGUGAGUCACAUAUACAAUUUAAAGUUUUCUGGUAGGUGCAUGAAAGAAAGUAAAAAGAAAUUAGUGAGAUUAACUAAAAAUUUAUUUAACCCAAUAUACCCAAAUAUUGUCAGUUCAGUAUAUAACCAAAAUAAAAAUUGAGGUUUUUUUUCAUACUAAGUCUUUGUAGUUUUUUUUUUUUUUUUAAGAUUUAAUUUUUUUCCUUUUUCUCCCCAAAGCCCCCUGGUACAUAGUUGUAUAUUCUUUGUUGUGGGUCCUUCUAGUUGUGGCAUGUGGGACGCUGCCUCAGCGUGGUUUGAUGAGCAGUGCCAUGUCCGCGCCCAGGAUUCGAGCCAACGAAACACUGGGCCACCUGCAGCGGAGCGCACGAACUUAACCACUCGGCCACGGGGCCAGCCCCUAAGUCUUUGUAGUUUUACACUUACUGCACAUCUCAAUUUGGACUAGCCACAUUUCAAGUGCCUAGUAGUGGUGUGUUGCCCAUGACUGUGCUCUUGAGCAGUGUGGCUCUGAAGCAGGGAUCAGGAAACUAUGGUCUCCAGUCAAAUCUGACCCUCUGCCUGUUUUUGUAUGGCCCAGGAGAUAAGAAUGGUUUUUAUGUUUAUAAAUGGUUGAAAAAUCAAAUUAAUAAUAUGAAAAUAUAUGUCAAAAUUACAUGAAAUUCAAAUUUUAGUGUUCAUAAGUAAAAUUUUAUUGACUAGCCACAUUCCUUCCUCAGUGUCAGAGUUGAGUAGUUGCAACAGAGACCGUAUGGCCCACAAGGCUAAAAUAUUCACUUGCCUACCCUUUUACAGAAAAUGUUGGUCAACCUCUGCUAGAGUAAAAGUGAAAGUCUCCUUCACAAAUACCCAAUCCCACACCUGUCUCCAGAAGUAACCACUACUAAGGGUUUUCUGUGUGUUUUUUUAGAACUGUUUUUUUAAUAUAUGUCCAUAUAUAUAUGUACACAUAGAUUUUAUGGUUUUAUUUCUUUAUGUAGCUAGAACUUACAUUCACACUUAAAAAAUGGAAUGGUAUCAUUACAUGUGUACAGUAUUCACCCGUUAUUCAUGCGGGUUAUUUUGUAUUUCCUUCAUGGCAGAAAAUGAACAUUUUAGACCUUUGAUUCCUUGUCUAUAAAUAGGAAGAUUCUACCUAUAUAAUGGAAUUGGCAUGGAAGUUAGUAAUAAUUUAGAGCUAAUGAAAAAUUACCUGGCACAGAGCAGAUGUUCAAUCUAGAGCAGCUAUUCUGACUAUGUCCAAGACCCCCAGUGGAUGCCUGAAACCUUAGAUAGUACUGAACCCUGUGUAUACUGUUUUUCCUAUACAUAGAUAACUAUGAUAAAGCUUAAUUUAUAAAUCAGACAUUGUGAGAUUAAUAACAAUAGCUAAUAAUAAAACAAUCAUAGCAAUACACUUCAAUAAAAGUUAUGUGGAUGUGGUCUUUCUUUCAAUCCAAACCUAUUCCUGAAUCUGUAUAACCAUCCCUCACUUGUGGUAAAUGGCUUGGUGUCACUGGUUUCAGGGGAUCCCUUGCUGAAGCCUUCCUAUAGGCUCAAUGCUUUCUGGUGCAACACGUUGCUGUCAACAAGAACAUGUCUUCCGCUUACAAGUGUAAUAUCUUUUCCAUCUUAACUGAGAACGUACCUUGCACUGUGGCCUUAACUUUUGCAGUUUGAGGUGUGACAGCUAAACCAGCACAAAUUUCUUUUUCCUUCUUCACAGUAUCAUGGAUAGAAGAUUUGUUCUUACCAUAGAUCUUAGCAACCUCAGCAUACAAUUUUUUUUUCUUCAUUUAUUAAGUCGAGAACUUAAUAACCUUUUCACUUAAAGGGAGCACUUUACAACUUCUCUUUGGCAUAUCUGAAUUGCCAGCAUCACUGCUCUUGCGAUCUGGGGCCAUUGUGCCCCAACCACUGCGCCACCAACCACUGUGCCACCGGGCCGGUUCCUGGCGUGCAAUUUAAAACUUAUGAAUUGUUUGUUUCUGGAAUUUUCCAUUUAAUAUUUUUCAAUCAUGGUUACCAUGGGUAACUGAAACCACGGAAAGCAAAAUUGUGGAUAAGUAUUCUGUAUUCUGGUUUCCUUUCUUAUUUUAUAUCAAUUUCCAUAUCAGUACUUAUACAUAUGUUCCUUAUCAAUACACAUAAGUGCUUUCACAGCGGUGCAUGUAGACGUUCAUCAUUCUUUGUAAUGAUUACAUUAUAAUCCAUGAUAUGGUUUUACUAUAGGUUAUUUUAUCCGUCUCCUGUUAGUUUAAGCUCUUUCCUCUCCUCCCUUCCCUCCCCUUCUCUCUCUUUCUCUCCUCUCUAUUACAAACAGUUCUGCAGUGAACAUAUAUGCAGAUCUUUGUGUACUGGUACAAAUAUUUCUGCAGGAUAGAUUUCUAGAAGUAAAAUUGGAUCAGAAGAGGUUGACAACCCACGAUACGUCAAAGGAGAUAGCUGAGAAGUGACGUAAGCAUAGUAAUGGAUCUGGACUUGUGGAGAGAAAGAUUUAUUUCUUUGAGGACUGAGUCUUCUCACCAGCCCCUGACACCUCUCUUUCACUUAAUCUCCUUUUGUUCCAUGACAUUCUACAGCCAAAAUGUUGAAUAAUAUUAUCCUUCCUUUUGGGAAAUCAUGAAUCUUCAGGCGUCAAGGAAGUAUGUCUUUCUGUUUUCCUUUUGGAAGAAAAUCAACUGUAUAAUCCUGGAAUCAACCAAACUGAAAAGUUGCUUAUGCAAAUAAUUUGCCUUUAGACAGUUCUGCGCCAAGGUAGAAACACCUUCAAGGUUAUGUCUUGGAAAAAUCCUAGAUAAGGACUGCAAUAUUUAACAUAUUGUAUGUUACUGGAGGACAUCUCUGUAAAUAGUACAGUAGUUUGCAUAUAAGUUUGUUCUAGUAUUGUUUGGCUGCUAAACUAACAACUGCAGAAUCUGUGUCUAGAGAUGGAAUGGAUUUUAGCCCUUUUCCACAUGUACAUGAAUAUGUGCUCUAUCCACUCAGUCUCUCAUCCGGUAAGCAUUUGUGCAUUUCCCACCACAUGCCAAGCUAUAGAUACAGAGAAAGAGGACAGGCUCUGUCCUCAGUGAAGCCCCCUCCCCCCACCCGCCGUAGGAGGAGGUAGGAGGGAAGGAGAGAGAGAUAAGUAAGCCAGUAUCUACUAUUUGUUUUAAAAAGUGCUAUCGUAAUUAUUCAUGAUGUGCUAUGGAAGUACAAAGGAGGGACCCCUAACUCAACCUGAAGAGAGGAAGUGGGUUGUGGAAGAUCAGGGAAGGUGACCUGGCUGAGGUGAUAUAUGGGGUGAAUUUUACAGAUCAGGGAGUUAGAAGGUGGAAAUGGUAUUCCAGAAGAAGAGCAUGUUCAAAGGCAUAGAGGCAGUUCAAGUCAAUGAACAUUUAAUGAAUGUCUGCCAUGUGCCAACCCCAAGAAAGCAUGGAGUGUAGACGGAAUGGCGAAUGGCUAUAUAUGACUGGAGCAUAAAAUACAAAUUGGGAAUUAUUGGGAGGUAGAACUGGAAAGUUUGGCAGAAGCCAGAUCUUGAAGAACCUUGUACACCAUGCUAAAUAACUUGGACUUAAUCCAUAGAGAGCCCCAAUACUGGAUUUAUGUUUCAGAAAGUUGUACUGGCAUCAGUCUAGAGAAUGAAUUCAGGAAUACUAAUGCUGGAGGCAGGGCAUCCAAUUAGGAGACUAUUAUAAAAAUACAUGCAAGAAUGAGGGCUUAAAUUAAAGCAGCAGCCAUGGAAAUGAGGACAGAUAUGAGAGAGAUUCAAGAGGUGGAAUAGAUAUGUCUAGAAACCUAGGAGUCAUCAUAUACAAAUCUCUCUCCCUUAUCCCCUUUAGCAGUUUUAGUCCUAUUAAUAAAUUAAAGAAAUGUACAGCCCCACGUAAAAAUUCAUGCCACUAAUUUGCAUUUAAACUUGUAUUAGUCACAACCAUUUUUUUUUUAACUGUUCUUUAUUUAAGUUCCUUUUGGUGGUUGUUAGGAAGAUUGGCCCUGAGCUAACAUCUGUGCCAAUCUUCCUCUAUUUUACGUGAGAUGCUGCCACAGCAUGGCUUGACGAGCAGUGCUGUGUCUGCGCCUGGGAUCCAAAUGUGUGAACCCCGGUUGCCAAAGCAGAGCACAUGAACUUAACCACUACACAACCAGGCCAGCCCCUAUUCACAACUAUUUUUAGUUGCACAACUAUUUUAAGUUACAGGAACCUAACUUGAAGUAGCUUAUGUGAAGAGGGGCAUUUAUUUGAAUGAUACCGGGGUUGGUCUCAUCUAGCAUGCAGCUGGAUGUCAGGGACAAAUGAAACCAGAAACUCAAAUGUUACCAGGACACUCAUUUCCUGACAUCUCUCUGAAUGUUGGUGGUAUUUUUCCUACUACAGAUCAGUUUCCUCUAUGUUGCAAGAAAUGGCCAGCAACAAUUUCUGGGCUUUCCAUUCUGUGAUUCCCUCUUCAGAGAGUGACUUCUACUCUAAUCCUAAAAAGGAAUGAUUGGCUCAGCAUGGGACAAGUGCUCUCCCACUGUGGCCACUGUUCUAUGAUAGGCAGCCACCACUAGAACUAUUGAGCUCCAGAUAUGUGUGUGUUUGAGAGGGUAUGCUUAGAGAACAGCCUGCAACUGGAGGGAGGGGCAGGAGAGACAAAAUUAAACAUGGCCACCAAAACUUUGUUAUCAAAUCCAAUAGAUUUCAUCCAGUACCUUUUCUUUGACUUCUGUGCUAUAACUGAUGGUAGUGACCAUGUUUACUUUCUGGAAAACUUCUUCCUUAGCUUCUGUUACUGUUUUCCCUCUGACUUCAUGUUCAUUCUACAUUCCAAAACUGAUUCCCCUUCCUUUUCUUGCCCCUCACAGUUAAUGAUGUUCAAAACUCAGUCCAUGAUAUUCUGAUCAACAGAUCUUAAACUUUUGCUAGGUAGAUCUCAAGCUGGUUGCUGCCACCACAUUCCUAUGUCUUUACUUUUUCUGAGUAUGCAACAGGCAAGGGAAGAGUGCAGUUGGCUGUGCCACUUCUCUUCCAGUUUCCACCAGACACUUUGCCACCAGCUCAUAUCUCUGUUGAUCUCUUGGAUUAAGAGGAGUAAAGAGCCAGUCUUUUCAGAAAGACUCGAUUCCCCCACUGUACAUUCAGAAAAUCCAUUAUUCCUAUGGUUUUAGUAAUGUCUCUCUGUGAAUGACUAUUUCCUAACUAUCCUACUUCCAGGAUAUGUCUUGUGAUCUAGUCAGCCUGGUCUUAUUAUCCCAUGGACACUCCAAGCAUAGUCCUACCUCCUUGUCUUUGUUCCUGUCCUCCUCCCAACAAUCCAUGUACUAUUCAUGUAUCAAAGCCCAGCUUAAAUUCUCUCUUCCAUAAAGACUUUCCCGGCCACUCCAUCCCUUUUGGUCUCUUUCUCUCUACUGAUGCCCUAUUCCAGCUUAUAGUUUCUAUUACUUGAUUAAAUUUAUCAAUUAAAUUUUUCAUUUUUUGUUAUUUUGUAAUUUUUGAAGAGUGUUAUGUGGAAAGAGCUGGAUUCUUUUUAACUUAAUGAGAUAUAUUUGGC